Molecule: ribosomal RNA, 465 nt
Filed under: Vreelandella stevensii
Lineage: Bacteria; Pseudomonadati; Pseudomonadota; Gammaproteobacteria; Oceanospirillales; Halomonadaceae
Description: partial 16S ribosomal RNA
Rfam family: Bacterial small subunit ribosomal RNA
Source: RNAcentral
CCUACGGGGGGCAGCAGUGGGGAAUAUUGGACAAUGGGGGCAACCCUGAUCCAGCCAUGCCGCGUGUGUGAAGAAGGCCCUCGGGUUGUAAAGCACUUUCAGUGAGGAAGAACGCCUGGUGGUUAAUACCCAUCAGGAAAGACAUCACUCACAGAAGAAGCACCGGCUAACUCCGUGCCAGCAGCCGCGGUAAUACGGAGGGUGCGAGCGUUAAUCGGAAUUACUGGGCGUAAAGCGCGCGUAGGUGGUUUGAUAAGCCGGUUGUGAAAGCCCCGGGCUCAACCUGGGAACGGCAUCCGGAACUGUCAAGCUAGAGUGCAGGAGAGGAAGGUAGAAUUCCCGGUGUAGCGGUGAAAUGCGUAGAGAUCGGGAGGAAUACCAGUGGCGAAGGCGGCCUUCUGGACUGACACUGACACUGAGGUGCGAAAGCGUGGGUAGCAAACAGGAUUAGAUACCCCUGUAGUC